UUAGAGUUUGAUCCUGGCUCAGGAUGAACGCUAGCUACAGGCUUAACACAUGCAAGUCGAGGGGCAGCGUGGGGUAGCAAUACUCCGACGGCGACCGGCGAAUGGGUGAGUAACACGUAUCCAACCUACCUCUGGCUCAGGGAUAGCCCUUAGAAAUGAGGAUUAAUACCUGAUGGUGUCGCAUGAUCGCAUGAGAGCGCGACUAAAGAUUCAUCGGCGAGGGAUGGGGAUGCGUCUGAUUAGUUAGUUGGCGGGGUAACGGCCCACCAAGACGACGAUCAGUAGGGGUUCUGAGAGGAAGGUCCCCCACAUUGGAACUGAGACACGGUCCAAACUCCUACGGGAGGCAGCAGUGAGGAAUAUUGGUCAAUGGACGCAAGUCUGAACCAGCCAUGCCGCGUGAAGGAAUAAGGCCCUAUGGGUCGUAAACUUCUUUUGUGGUGGAGCAAUAAGUCGUACGUGUACGGCGAUGAGAGUACAUCACGAAUAAGCAUCGGCUAACUCCGUGCCAGCAGCCGCGGUAAUACGGAGGAUGCAAGCGUUAUCCGGAUUUAUUGGGUUUAAAGGGUGCGUAGGCUGUGAUCCAAGUCAGGGGUGAAAGCCCGGAGCUCAACUCCGGAACUGCCUUUGAUACUGGAUUGCUGGAAUACGGAUGCCGUGGGAGGAAUGAGUAGUGUAGCGGUGAAAUGCAUAGAUAUUACUCAGAACACCGAUUGCGAAGGCAUCUCACGAAUCCGUCAUUGACGCUGAGGCACGAAAGCGUGGGGAUCAAACAGGAUUAGAUACCCUGGUAGUCCACGCAGUAAACGAUGAUAACUAACCGUCGGCGAUAGACAGUCGGUGGCCAAGCGAAAGCGAUAAGUUAUCCACCUGGGGAGUACGUUCGCAAGAAUGAAACUCAAAGGAAUUGACGGGGGCCCGCACAAGCGGAGGAACAUGUGGUUUAAUUCGAUGAUACGCGAGGAACCUUACCCGGGCUUGAAUUGUAGGGGAAUGGCGCAGAGACGUGCCAGUCAGCAAUGACCCCUAUGAAGGUGCUGCAUGGUUGUCGUCAGCUCGUGCCGUGAGGUGUCGGCUUAAGUGCCAUAACGAGCGCAACCCUUGCUGCCAGUUGCCAUCAGGUUAUGCUGGGCACUCUGGCGGGACUGCCAUCGCAAGAUGUGAGGAAGGUGGGGAUGACGUCAAAUCAGCACGGCCCUUACGUCCGGGGCUACACACGUGUUACAAUGGGGGGCACAGAGAGCAGCUUGCCGGCGACGGCUGGCGAAUCUUGAAAUCCCCUCUCAGUUCGGACUGGAGUCUGCAACCCGACUCCACGAAGCUGGAUUCGCUAGUAAUCGCGCAUCAGCCAUGGCGCGGUGAAUACGUUCCCGGGCCUUGUACACACCGCCCGUCA
RNAcentral lists this ribosomal RNA (1396 nucleotides) under uncultured bacterium. RNAcentral describes it as "16S ribosomal RNA". It matches the Rfam family "Bacterial small subunit ribosomal RNA". The record is from RNAcentral.